UUGUGUUUUAGGUUUGAAUUUGCAAGAGAUGUGUAUGAUGUACUACAAAAAAAAAGAUCAUAUUAUAUUACAUAAAUAAUAUCAGAAAAAACAAAUGAUACCAAUUUGAAACACUUAUUAAUAAAUGAUACAACAUAUUUGAAAUUGUACAUUCCCAUUUUUAUUUUAUAUCUAUUUGCAGUAAUCAUUAGAAUUAUGUUGAUUUUUAAAAUAUUAUAUGUUAGUUGUGUGUAUUAAGUUUUAUCAUUGUUGAGUUUUUGAAAAGAAUGAACUUUUUAAAAUUCACGAUUAAUGUUGACUUUAAGUUCCACCCGGCGACUAAAUUUAUGUAUAUUAUUGUUGCUAAAUUGAUUAGUUAUAAUUUAAAAAAGUUCUAAUUUAUUUUUUAAGUAAAACUCAAAUUCUCUUGCUUAAAGUAUGAACACACAUUUUUCAGUUUGUUUGUAGUAAAUACAUUUGACAUUGAUUUUCGAUAUUGUUGCGGUAACAUGUAAUCGUAGUUUUUAUAUUCUUAUAUAUUUUAUGUUAAAUGGUAGCCUCUUAAAUCUAACCCAAUAUAAAUGUUGUCAAGUUAUUUUUUUUAAUAUUCGUUUUUAUAUAUAACCAACACCAAAAAUCAAGCAUGCAAAUAUGGAUUUUGGUCCUUACUUAGAAACUAUGGGUAGUGAAUGAUAUGACCUAUUUGAUUCCCGGACGGAAAUAGUUUUUAGAGAGAGUUUUCUAUUACUAAAUAUAAUUUAUAUCAUAAAUCUAAAAAGCAGAGACGAAAUAUUGCAUUAAUAAUAUAUUAUGGUAUGAAAACUUAAAAGGCAAGAAAAACUAAUAUAAUACAUGCCCUAGGAACAAAGGGAAAGUGUGAGGUUGUGACACUUCUUCAUUUUUUUUUCUUUUUGCUAAAACACUUCUUCAAUUCUCUUAUAUAAAGCACAAAUUUGCAAAGAAUGAGAAAUUGACGUUACCAUGAAAGAACAAUGCGAGGAACACCAGAACUAAAUUUUAUCUUGCUUCCUCAGGUCCUUGAAAGUAAAUGAAUAUAUUUCGACUUGUUUUGAUUGAGAAACUGUGGUGUGGUUUGUGUGAUGUCUUAAAUUGUUGACUCUCCUGUGCGUUUUGUUUUUUUCUCUUUGAAUUUCAUAUACUCGUUUUUGAUGUAUCGAUUAGUCUUUUCGAUUGAACUUUAAUACCGAAUAAAGUUGUAAGAUGAUAUUUAAAAAAAAAGUAAAUAACAUAUAUGUCUAACCGGAGUUAUAUAGAUGACGAUAGUUUGAGAUUUUGUGAUUUCUUAGACGUAUUUUUUUAACCAAUUUCUUAGGCAUAUUAUGUUGAUUGUUUGUUGGUCUUGGCGUGAAUAUUUAUGAAAAUGAAUAAUCAUGAUUUUAUGAUUAAUAAUAGAUUAAAUUUAUAAUAUAAUUUACAAAGGUUGAAAAUUUCUUACUUUCUACAAUUUUUAUAAAAUUUAACUUAUUAGUACAAAAUUUGUAAUAUUUGUUAUUCUAUUGGUGGUGGCAAAUCUUUUAUUCAUAUAGCUUAGGAAACAUUCUAAUGAAUUUUUUCAUAUGUUAGAGAUUUUUUUUUUGUUACUGUCUUUUACAUAUUUAUGAUUUAUAAAUUUAAGUGUUUUCAGAUAUUUUUUUAUUAGUUAUUUCUCUUUUUCAAAGAGUUGAUUUUUAUUCUAAAAAUUAAUUUUUGAAAAAAAGCAAAGAAAACUAAAUAAGUGAGUACACCGUUUUUAUGUUCUCUUUCAUUCAAACACCCUUUACAUCAUUGCGAUGUUUUUUCCAAAAUUCUCAAAUUCAUUAGGUGACGAAAUACAAUGCAAAAAUAUGCAUCACCCCAUUAUAUAAAAUAGAAAGCUGAAAUCAGAGAAAUUAUGUAAUUUAUCCUAAGUAUAAAGAUUUUUUAAAAAGAUUCAGGUAAUGUUACUUGUUUUGGAUCCUGAAUUGUUAGAUGGACACAGACAUACACAUUUUUUUUCUCUUUACGAACCGAAAGAACUCUUAAUAAUAUAUUAACCUUACGCAGACGGAGGCCAAAAAUGGUAGAAACUGGCAAUAUGAAUUGUGAACAAAACGACAAAUACUAUUAGUUCAAACCAGUUCAUGAUUAGAAACACGUUACAAAUGAAAAAUCAGACACAAACCACACCAAACCAAAUAACCAAUUUUUCUAGCAAACCACCUGACAGAACUUGAUAUAUUGUAUCAACCGGACAACGAUUCUAUAACUUCUGAAACAGAAAGAUCCGACUCUUCUUCACAAAUAAGCCACUUUCUAUACUGCAGAAGAAUUUUACUCACUGUUGCUUACUCUCCAAUGGCUUCUCACCUUGUUGACCUUUCGCAAGUUGUAUGCUUCCAGACUUUGUUCACAAAGAAAAGAGCCUCAGGUUAUAUCAGCCCUUAAAUAACUAUAAGACAUAGAACCAAAGGUCGAUGUUGAGUAAUUGCUAAAACCUUGCGUCCAGCUGAUGACUGCAACAAAACAAAGAGAAAUCACCAAUAUCAAAUUCCGAGGUUUGAGUUAUAUGUAAAACCAUUUUAACCACUUAGUACCUUUUUAUGCUCUUCUUUCCUUGCUCAUCCUCUUCACUGUUGUCCUCGUCCUCCUACUCAUCUUCCUCCCUUCGCAUCCUCAUCAUCAUCAGUAAUCUCAUCAUCAUCGUUGUCCAUCUCAAGGUAAUAUGCAUCAACAACUUCACCAGUACACCUUGACACAACAUGCAAGAACUUCACCAGUAAACUUUGACACAACACGCAAGAUGAUUUUCUCUUUAAUGGUUUGAUCUACAGAAUAAACAGUCGACACAGUUAGAUCCUAGAACUGAGCUAAAAAGCAAAGAGAUCUGAAUAUGAGAUCAGAAGUCAGACCUGUUGUCAUAGUCGUGCUCCAUUUCGCCUUGGAGUUCUUCAGCAUGUGCAAUAAAAAAUUAUUAGGUUAACACUUAACGCGUUCUGAUUCUGAAGUACUAAAUCAAGUAUCAAGUUUUCUUUUGGGGAUGUCCAUACCUAUCCAUCAUCAGGAUCAUUGCAUGUUGUUCUCAGGAACUUGAAGAGUUACGAAACAAACCACUAAAAGAUUAGCAUUUUUCAAAAUAAUAUAUAUUAAAACAAAGAAAUCAUGAGUGGUACCACUAAGAGAUAUGAUCGAUAGGAUUAUACCUGCGGUGAAAUCAAGUCGUUCUUCUUGUUGCUCAUUUUUGCAGGAUCUAGACUCCCUCAUCAUCACACAUAAAGCAUAAAUCAUAAAAAAAAAAAAAAAAAAAAAAAAAAAAAAAAAAAAAAAAAAAAAAAAAAAAAAAAAAAAAAAAAAAAAAAAAAAUACAGAACAAACAAACACGAAGAGGUUCGACAGUAUUUCGCAAAUUCAACGAUCAAUAAGAGGUUUUAUUUCUAAUAUAUAAACCUAAUCAAAAAUAUAACAAAACAUAAAGAAGAUAGUCGGAUUCUUGUAUAAACCAAGAACUUUAAAUUUCUCGAGAAACUAAAAUUAAACACGAACAAACAUGAAGAACUUCGCCGGAAUCUCGCAAAUUCAACAAUCAGUAAGAGGUUCUGAUCAAAAAAAGAGGUUCUCUCUAAUAAAAAAAAUAUUAAAUCUAACAAAACACAAAAAGUUCACCGGAAUUUUAGUAAUUCCAAGAGGAGAAAUCCCACCUCUAUUUAUACAGAUCCUGGCACCGCCUCUAAGAUCGAAAAGAAGCUUUGAAUACACAUCGUGAUGGAGCGAAUAAAUAGCAUUUAUGAGGAAGCCAUUAACCACACCAUUUCAGGUCAUCAGAAGAAGCGCAGAGGUCACGAGACAACUCUGUUUCUUUCGUUUCUUCGAUGCAGGGUAUUAGGAUUAGAGGGAUCUCCUUCUUGGCCCCAGAAUCUUACCAAUUAAACAGCCCAGUACACCAUAUAUUACGAACGAAGCCCACAAAGAUAGAUGUCAAAUGAAGUGUUGCGUUUUGGAUGCAGGGACAUAUGUCGUAUCAGCAGAGCUCGAAUUGAUGAGCUGGAAUCCUAGGUGGACACCCUGGGAGUGAUUCAUGGGUCUUGUUUAUAUAUAAAGAUAUGAAUAUUGCUUUGGGUUGGUUCAGGUUGGUUUGGUUCGUUUUUUUGUCCAUCCUUAGGCCUUAGUAAUAAUAAUAAGCCUUGUCUGAUCCGGUUUAAUUUAAGCCUGGUUCGAAUCCGGUUUAGCCUUGCGCCAGUUACAAGGUUCGGUUCACACUGUAGCAAGGAGUAUAUAUUACUUUAACAAAUCAAAUAAAUUUCUUGUGAUAUACAAUAAAAUGAAUAGAACUUUAUAACAACCAAGACUUCCUUCAACUCUCUGCUCUCUAUGCAGCUAAGCACUCUUUUGGAAGACCUUGAGGAAAUCUCUUCGUAUCCGUGCAAUAGUUGUAGAUCAUGUAGUUUUUCUGCACCCAUCUCAUCCUUUCUUGAGCCGUUGAAUCAAGCUCCUGGGACAGCCACGAGCCACUGGUCCCCUGUCCCGAGCCAUUAGGACAAGACGACUUGCCGUUUGACCAAACACAAGCUUCUUGGUUGAAGCCACGGUAAGAAGCAGUGAAAGGAGCUUUAGACCAAUCGGUUUUGACCAAACCACCUCUAGUGGCCCAAUCAUCAGCGUUCCAGAGACUAGAAUACAUUCUCAUUGGUUGGUUAUUGGGAAAUAGAGUACCAACAGAUUCCAUGUUCUUGAAUUCUCUAAUGGGAGUUCCAUCGACUGUGAAAAUGAUUCGUUGUGGGUUCCAUAGAAUGGUGUAAGUGUGGAAAUCAGCUGUUGGGUCGAACCAGAGUUUGAACUGCUGUUCUUUGUCUCCUUUGCCUUGUGUGUAGACAUUUGUGUGAAGUGUGUAAGGAUCUCCACUUAGGUUCCCUAAGAACUCGAAGUCAAUCUCGUCCCAUGUUGUUCCGGGUGAUUUCAACUGUAACGAAAAACUAAUUUUAGUAACAAGAACUUCAAAAUGUAACAAAAGAAAAAGAAACAUGGUUAUGUAACUUACGUAGAGUGUUGUGACUGUUCCUGCGGAGUUACCAGGGACGAGUUUCAUCUGCAUGUCGAUUUUUCCGAACAAGUACUCGUUCUUGGACUGGAAACCAGAGCCAGAUGAUUUGUCUAGAGACAAAGUGAGAAGCUCUCCAUUGUUUGUGAUCUGUCCACGUCCAUCUCCCCAAGUGAUCUCAACGUCUCUAUGGAAAUUAGCUGAAACAGAGGAGAUGACUAUAAGAGAGAGAAACAAAGGAAGGAAGUAACUGUGUGCCAUUUUGAGAGAUUUAUGGGUUUUCUUAUUUGAUCUUGUGACUUGUGUUGCGUUUGUUUUGUGGUUUUGAGGGUUUAUGGAAUAUUCUAUUUAUACUAGUAGUAGUAAUAGUAGACUAAUACUCCAGCAAAGGUUUAAUAAGAGGAAGGUUCGUAUGGUGAAAGAGGUAGCCGCGGUUUGUGAGGCAACAGCUGGAGAUUGGGCCAUCUUUGUAGUAAAAGCUGUAUUCAAUUGGCUUUGGAGUUCACGCGGUUUUUUUAAUAACGUUUUUAAUUAAAAACAUGUUUAAUAUUAUUUGUUUUUGGGGUUUUCUUAUUUGAUCUUGUGACUUGUGUUGCGUUUGUUUUGUGGUUUUGAGGGUUUAUGGAAUAUUCUAUUUAUACUAGUAGUAGUAAUAGUAGACUAAUACUCCAGCAAAGGUUUAAUAAGAGGAAGGUUCGUAUGGUGAAAGAGGUAGCCGCGGUUUGUGAGGCAACAGCUGGAGAUUGGGCCAUCUUUGUAGUAAAAGCUGUAUUCAAUUGGCUUUGGAGUUCACGCGGUUUUUUUAAUAACGUUUUUAAUUAAAAACAUGUUUAAUAUUAUUUGUUUUUGCUUUCAAAUUAAAUUGGAUCUUUACAAUCAAAAAGCUGCAUUUGGGAGUUGGAUACUUUUUUUUACCACCGGCUUAGACCGACAUUGACAGAGAAAAAGGUUUUCUCUAAUAGAACCAAGAGAUUCUGUUAUAACAAAAGAUAGAAAGUAAAAAGAUGUUUAAGAAAAUUAAUUAGAAUAUGAUAAUCUAUGAGUUUUAUUUUUUCUAUAUUUCAGUUAUCUUGGUUCUGUUAUUCUUAUUCCUGACUAUUAUUAUGAUAUAUGCAAAUUUAAAAUUUAGUUAAGGUGAGUAUUUAUUCCCAUCGCCACAUAACAAAUGUAGAGUGGUUAAGAAAAUAGGAUAAGGAUCCAUAUUGUAUUUGUUUUCUAAAUAAAUUGAUCGAUUCAAAAUUUAAAGCAGGGGGAACAAGAGAGAUUGCCACGUUGAAGGAAUAAGAUAGUUGUUGGGUAAAUCAUCACUAACUGACUCAAAUAUUUUGAUUUUGUGGUGGAGACAGCUAAGACACUCAAGUUGAUGGCGGUCGUGGUCCCGAAGUUUCGUAAUACAAAUUGCUAGAUCCUCAGCGCAGUCCGAACUCUUGCGCAAACUCUAGAAAUCUAAAUUCGAUCAAAACCGUGUGCAGAAUACACGAAAAGAACGUGUGAUGGUCAUGGUCCAGAAGUUUCUUAGUCAUGAUUUUUCAGAUGUAUAUGAUAUAACUCAUUUGCAUAUUUUGGGUUUAGAAUUCUUUAUUUAUUGUAUAAAUUGAAAUUUACAUGUAUAAUUUUUCAAAUGAUUAAAAUUCCUCAUAACAUCAUAUACUUUUACUUACUUGUUUCACUUUUAGUGGGCCUAAUUAGGCAACCGUCGUUUGUCGUCCAUAUAUGGAUGUAGAGUUACCGGUUUGGUUUGCAGAAUAUAUAUGAAUCUAUUUUAAAUUGCUGACAAAAAAUAAUAGAGCCUAUUUAAACCAAGACUUUUUCUGAAGAUUAACCUUGCACUCAAAGGUUAGUCUUGAUUCUCUAGACUCUGGUUGACUUGCUCUCAAAUGUUUUAUUUAAGUCUUUGACUCUCUUAUUGGUAUGCGAAUGUUUGGGUUCACAUAUUGUUUGCUAGAUGCUAGAGCUUUGCUUGAGCUUCCUAUUAAAAUGGUAGACUCAAUAUUAGACAUGGAUAUAUCUUUCCCACUUAUGGUUGGACAGUUUUGUUAUCUAUUACAGAUUCAAAAACUGAAAAUGAAUUUGACAGGUUUCCAUUUAAAGACAGAAAAUAAACCCCAACCGUUAUAAACGCACGGAUAAUGAUGGAAAAUCUUUGAAUCUCCCGUGGAAAUUAUGCUCUCACUCACUCAGAGGUCAGAACUGUCAACUCUAAUGGUAAAGAAUUAUGUCCCAUGGUAGAUAUGUCAAGCUCUUUGAUAAAAAAAAGAUAUGUCAAUUGUCAAGUUCAUAUCAAAUCAAUAAUGAAAAAUGGAUUUAGCAAUCGGUUCUCAUCUCUAAUCCAAAAAAAUUAUGGGUUUUGAUCCGAAAUUUCUUACAAUAAAAAAACACUAUGCUUUCAUCUAGACAUUUCAAAUGUGUCGAACCAAGAACUUUCUUUAUUGUCCUUCCAUAUGUUGCUAUAUUUUCUCACAAGACAAACACACUAUAAUUGAUAUUUUCUUAUUGUCUAACAUAAAUAUAAUAUUUAAUCACCAUGGUUAUAAAAUACAAUAUACUAGUGACAAAAAUAUUCAACAAAAUGUAUAUUAUCCUUUAUAUAUUAAUCGAGAAUCAUUAUAACAUACGAAUGAUGUCAUAUGUCAUUACUACGAUAAUUCUUAAAAUAAUUAGAGAAAUAAGUUAUUCCAUCUAAAUAUAUUAUAUUUUUCAUUAAAAAUAAACAUAAAUUAAUUAGUAAUUUACAAAAAAAUUAUUUGUUUCUUAAAUAAAAGGUACAAAAUUAUCUAAUGUGAUUAAAUAUAUAAGAAAUUAGUGAUUUUGAAUAAUAAAAAAAUUGAUAACAAUUUGUGUGUGAUCUAUCAAUUUCGUUUAAUUUAGUUAUAAAAUUUUAACUUUGUUGUAUAUGUUAUACUUUGGAUUUUUUUAAAAAAAUUACUAAAAUUAAUAAAACUAUUAAAAGUCUUACAUUAAAAAUUUUGUGCUCAGUGGUUUUAAUAUUUUGAUAUAACAAGAUACAAAUGAUCAUAAAACAAUUUGAGUAAGAAAUUUGAUUUAAUAGAUAUUCAAAUUAAAAAUAUGUAUCUAUUUUAGUAUAGUUUAAAUUAAUAUAUAUACCAUAUAAAAUACAUUAUUAUUAUUAUUAUUAUUAUUAUUAUUAUUAUUAUAAUUUCAAAAAUUUUAAAAUAUGUAUCAUAUUUGAAUUUAUAAAAAUUAUAAAAUUUUAUAAUUUAAUUUGAUCGAAUCAUUAACAUAUAUUUUACAUAUCUUUUGUUAUUAUUUUAAAGUAAUAAUAAAAAUUAUAUACUUAACAAAUAUUUUAUUAAAUAUUUUACUCCUUGAGAAAUGCAUAUUAUCUGUUCUAUUAAAACUGAAGUACAAAACAUUACUUUCCUAAUUUUUAAUGAAUUCUUAAAUCUUUUUCAUUUCUUUUUAAACUAAUUUUAACCACUUCAUUUAUUGUCUUUUCUAAAUAAUUUGACAACUUUUAUUACAUAAAUGUAAAAUAGAAUAUGUCUAUUUAAAGUGUUUUAUUACAUUUUUUUACAUUCAAUUUUUAACUCUUCAUAACUACUUCAUUAAUUAUCUUUAUAGUGAUAAUUCUAGAUCAUUUAUUUUAUGUGUUAACCAUAAUAAUUAUACAUAUUUGAAUACAAUUGCUCCAUUCGUCACAAGAAUUCUAUCUGGUUAACACAUAAUUUUUAUUUGUUUACAUAUAUAUGUAUGAGUAUUUACUACUCCCUCUGUUUCUGAAUAAGUGUCACUUUGACAUUUUUCACACAGAUUAAGAAAAUGACCGAAAUAUAUGUAAGUUGUUAUUAAUUAUACUUUUCUGACCAAUACUAUUUGAGAUAAAUAAAAUUAUUUAUAAAAUCAAUGCAGUUUUCAAUUAAUUUUCAGUUGAAAGUAAAUAUAAUUGGAAUUGUAAAGUGACACAUUUUUGUAACAAGAAAAAAAGGUUAAAUGACAUUUAUUAUGAAACAAAGAGAGUACUGUUUAGGUAUCCGUUUGGGUACGAAUCGGUUCUUUCAAGUAUCAUGAUAUUUUAGUUUUGUAACUAGGCUAUGUUUGAAUAUUAUAAAUUUAUGGGCGGAGUCGAGUCAGGUCCUUUUGGAUUCGGAUGAGUUCGGUUAUGAUGUGUAGAAACCUAAAAAAAUUCAAAUAACCUAUAUAUUUAGAAAUAUCUUUAAACAAUUUAUAAAACAGCAAAACAUAACACGAAAAAGCGUGCAGGUCAAGCUCUAAUUAUUAUUAUUAAAACUAAAAUACAAAACAAUACUUGCUUAUUUUAAGUGAUUUCUUACAUCUUUUUAAUUCUUUUUUCUUUUUCUUUUAACUAUUUCAUUUAUUGUCUUUUCCAAAUGAUUCAACAUCAUUUAUUACCGAAGUACAAAACAGAACUUACCUAUUUUAACUGUUUUAUUAUAUUUUUUACAUUUUUUUCAUUAUUCCAAACUACUUCAUUAAAUGUAUUUAACAUAAUAAUUCGACGUCGUUUAUUUUACGUGUUAACCGUAAUAAUUUCACAUAUUUGAAUGAAGUUGAUCCAAUAUGGACAAGAAUUCAAACCAGUUAACAAUUUUUUUGUUGUUUACAUAAUUAUUUAGACAUAGACAUUCAUGUACACGUUCGGAUACAUAUCGGUUUUCUCAAGUAUCGACUUUUUAGAUUUUAAAUUAAAUUUCAUUUGGGUAUUAUAAAUUUAUUCAGAUUCUACAUAGUUCAAACUAAAAAUAUCGAAAUAAUCUAUGUUUAGAAAUGUCUUAACCAUCCGUACCGAUGCGCACAUCAUGCUCUAGUGUAGAUUAAAACAUAAGCCUAAUUAUGCAAAUGAAGAGGGCACAAAGUAAGGCAGACAAUAAGUUAAAAAGAUAUUGUAAUAGAAUAUAUCACUUUAACAAAUAAGUACACUACAAACAAAUCAAUAGAAUUUUUAAUAACAAAAAGAAAAAGUAGAAUUUUGUUCCUUUCUCAACUCUUCACUCUCUAUGCAGCUAAGCACUCUUUAGGAAGACCUUGAGGGAAUCUCUUCGUAUCCGUGCAAUAGUUGUAGAUCAUGUAGUUCUUCUGCACCCAUCUCAUCCUUUCUUGAGCCGUUGAGUCAAGCUCCUGCGACAGCCACGAACCAGUGGUCCCCUGUCCCGAGCCAUUAGGACAAGACGACUUGCCGUUUGACCAAACACAAGCUUCUUGGUUGAAGCCACGGUAAGAAGCAGUGAAAGGAGCUUUAGACCAAUCGGUUUUGACCAAACCACCUCUAGUGGCCCAAUCAUCAGCGUUCCAGAGACUAGAAUACAUUCUCAUUGGUUGGUUAUUGGGAAAUAGAGUACCAACAGAUUCCAUGUUCUUGAAUUCUCUAAUGGGAGUUCCAUCGACUGUGAAAAUGAUUCGUUGUGGGUUCCAUAGAAUGGUGUAAGUGUGGAAAUCAGCUGUUGGGUCGAACCAGAGUUUGAACUGCUGUUCUUUGUCUCCUUUGCCUUGUGUGUAGACAUUUGUGUGAAGUGUGUAAGGAUCUCCACUUAGGUUCCCUAAGAACUCGAAGUCAAUCUCGUCCCAUGUUGUUCCGGGUGAUUUCAACUGUAACGAAAAACUAAUUUUAGUAACAAGAACUUCAAAAUGUAACAAAAGAAAAAGAAACAUGGUUAUGUAACUUACGUAGAGUGUUGUGACUG
This 10650-nucleotide long non-coding RNA is filed under the name Brassica napus (rape). RNAcentral describes it as "long non-coding RNA (BNAP_LNC023498)". The record is from RNAcentral. Lineage: Eukaryota; Viridiplantae; Streptophyta; Magnoliopsida; Brassicales; Brassicaceae.